This 301-nucleotide long non-coding RNA is filed under the name Mytilus galloprovincialis (Mediterranean mussel). Lineage: Eukaryota; Metazoa; Mollusca; Bivalvia; Mytilida; Mytilidae. The record is from RNAcentral.
UUUUGAGUUUUCUCAUUUGUCAAAUUGCACCAUUAUAAAAAAAAACUCUUUUCAUCAUGCAUGUAGGUUUUCUAUAAAUGAUUCUUCUAUGACUCCAGGUGGACAUUUAUCACAUAGAUGACCCAUACUGAUCAGGGUUGAAAAUAUUUCAUAAAAGAGGGACGAAAGAUACCAAAGGGACAGUCAAACUCAUAAAUCCAAAACAACUGACAACGCCAUGGUUAAAAACGAAAAAAAACAAACAAACAACAGCACACACGACACAACAUAGAAAACCAAAGAAUAAACAACACGAACCCCA